CUAUGCGCCUUGCCAGCCCGCUCAGGUGUGCCAGCCGCCGCGGUAAUACGGAGGAUGCGAGCGUUAUCCGGAUUUAUUGGGUUUAAAGGGUGCGUAGGCGGAUUUUUAAGUCAGCGGUAAAUGUCCGGGCUCAACCCGGGCCGGCCGUUGAAACUGGGGAUCUUGAGUGGGCGAGAAGUACGCGGAAUGCGCGGUGUAGCGGUGAAAUGCAUAGAUAUCGCGCAGAACUCCGAUUGCGAAGGCAGCGUACCGGCGCCACACUGACGCUGAGGCACGAAAGCGUGGGGAUCGAACAGG
RNAcentral lists this ribosomal RNA (297 nucleotides) under uncultured bacterium. Its description in RNAcentral is "partial 16S ribosomal RNA". It matches the Rfam family "Bacterial small subunit ribosomal RNA", at positions 475 to 776 of the family's 1533-position model. The record is from RNAcentral.